UCCAAUCCAAGAAAAGCACAGUCUCUCUACUGAGCCUGGGGACAGCUACUGGAAUAAGAAAAUGCAAAGCAGUCACUAGAACAACAGAACCUCUGAACUCAGCAACUGAAAUUCUCAAUUACAGACGUGCUGCUGUUUCUCCUUCCUCACCACGGCUCUUUAGCUUGAUCACUGCCGCAGCCCCGGUGGGAGGAACGGUGUGAGGGAUGCGGUGCCACGCACGCUCCGACAGCCGAAUCAAAGGCCCAGCCAAGCCUGCGCCUCAGCUCGAGUCUGGAGGAAAUCAGAGACCCUCAUUAAUGUUUCAGAAAAACCUAACUGGAACUGGCUCCUCCUGGUUUGUGCCUGGGGUAAGAGGCUCAGAGACCAUCCUGACAUCACUGUGGUCACAGCUUCACCAGGCUGGCACACUGCAAGAUUACGUCACCUGAAAUCUUGGCUCCUGGAAAGAGAAUUCUCUGUUUGAGAUGAGUAAUAGGUUGAGUAUGGUAUGUGACGGCACUCUAGACUCUGAAGAAAUAACAUGGACAAAUACCUCGUCGAAGGGCCGGCAUCUGAGCACACCCCAG
Long non-coding RNA from Athene cunicularia (burrowing owl), 569 nucleotides. RefSeq lists it as uncharacterized. Lineage: Eukaryota; Metazoa; Chordata; Aves; Strigiformes; Strigidae. The record is from RefSeq and is a predicted model, not a curated record. The transcript is spliced from 3 exons.